This 489-nucleotide ribosomal RNA is filed under the name uncultured Lysobacteraceae bacterium. Its description in RNAcentral is "bacterial SSU rRNA". It matches the Rfam family "Bacterial small subunit ribosomal RNA", at positions 97 to 581 of the family's 1533-position model. Lineage: Bacteria; Pseudomonadati; Pseudomonadota; Gammaproteobacteria; Lysobacterales; Lysobacteraceae. The record is from RNAcentral.
GGCGGACGGGUGAGGAAUACAUCGGAAUUUGCCCAUGUCGUGGGGGAUAACGUAGGGAAACUUACGCUAAUACCGCAUACGACCUAACGGUGAGAGCGGGGGAUCGCCAGCACUCGCGCGAUUGGAUGAGCCGAUGUCGGAUUAGCUAGUUGGUGGGGUAAAGGCCUACCAAGGCGACGAUCCGUAGCUGGUCUGAGAGGAUGAUCAGCCACACUGGGACUGAGACACGGCCCAGACUCCUACGGGAGGCAGCAGUGGGGAAUAUUGGACAAUGGGGGCAACCCUGAUCCAGCAAUGCCGCGUGUGUGAAGAAGGCCUUCGGGUUGUAAAGCACUUUUAUCCGGAACGAAACGUGUCGGGUUAAUAACCCGGCAAACUGACGGUACCGGAGGAAUAAGCACCGGCUAACUUCGUGCCAGCAGCCGCGGUAAUACGAAGGGUGCCAGCGUUACUCGGAAUUACUGGGCGUAAAGGGUGCGUAGGUGGUCU